AACUCGGCCAUUUAGAGGAAGUACAAGUCGUAACAAGGUUUCCGUAGGUGAACCUGCGGAAGGAUCAUG
This 69-nucleotide ribosomal RNA is filed under the name uncultured Tulasnellaceae. RNAcentral's name for it is "partial 18S ribosomal RNA". It matches the Rfam family "Eukaryotic small subunit ribosomal RNA", at positions 1762 to 1829 of the family's 1831-position model. The record is from RNAcentral. Lineage: Eukaryota; Fungi; Basidiomycota; Agaricomycetes; Cantharellales; Tulasnellaceae.